RNAcentral lists this ribosomal RNA (253 nucleotides) under uncultured bacterium. Its description in RNAcentral is "partial 16S ribosomal RNA". It matches the Rfam family "Bacterial small subunit ribosomal RNA", at positions 524 to 776 of the family's 1533-position model. The record is from RNAcentral.
AACGUAGGAGACAAACGUUAUCCGGAGUUACUGGGCGUAAAGGGCGUGUAGGUGGUUUAGUAAGUCUGGCGUGAAAUUUUUCGGCUUAACCGGGAAAGGUCGUCGGAUACUGCAAGACUAGAGGACGGUAGAGGCAUGUGGAAUUCCGGGUGUAGUGGUGAAAUGCGUGGAGAUCCGGAGGAACACCAGGGGCGAAGGCGACAUGCUGGGCCGGACCUGACACUGAUGCGCGACAGCAUGGGGAGCAAACAGG